GGUGCAGGCGGCUUGAUAAGUCGGAUGUAAAAUCUCUCGGCUUAACUGAGAGGGCGCGUUCGAAGUACUGUCAGGCUGGAGAGCAACAGAGGAAGGUAGAAUUCCCGGUGUAGUGGUGAAAUGCGUAGAUAUCGGGAGGAAUACCCGUGGCGUAGGCGGCCUUCUAGGUUGUUUCUGACGCUGAGGCCCUAAAGCGUGGGGAGCAAACAGGAUCAGAUACCCUGGUAGUCCACGCCUUAAACUAUGGAUACUAGGUAUGAGGGGUAUCGACCCCCUCGUGCCGAAGUUAACACGUUAAGUAUCCCGCCUGGGGAGUACGGCCGCAAGGUUAAA
RNAcentral lists this ribosomal RNA (333 nucleotides) under uncultured bacterium. RNAcentral's name for it is "bacterial SSU rRNA". It matches the Rfam family "Bacterial small subunit ribosomal RNA", at positions 568 to 898 of the family's 1533-position model. The record is from RNAcentral.